GACGAACGCUGGCGGCGUGCUUAACACAUGCAAGUCGAACGGUGAUCCCAGGAGCUUGCUUCUGGGUGAGCAGUGGCGAACGGGUGAGUAACACGUGAGUAACCUGCCCCUGACUCUGGAAUAAGCGCUGGAAACGGCGUCUAAUACCGGAUACGAGACGCAACCGCAUGGUUAGUGUCUGGAAAGUUUUUCGGUCUGGGAUGGACUCGCGGCCUAUCAGCUUGUUGGUGAGGUAAUGGCUCACCAAGGCGAUGACGGGUAGCCGGCCUGAGAGGGCGAUCGGCCACACUGGGACUGAGACACGGCCCAGACUCCUACGGGAGGCAGCAGUGGGGAAUAUUGCACAAUGGGCGAAAGCCUGAUGCAGCGACGCCGCGUGAGGGAUGACGGCCUUCGGGUUGUAAACCUCUUUCAGCAGGGAAGAAGCGCAAGUGACGGUACCUGCAGAAGAAGCACCGGCUAACUACGUGCCAGCAGCAGCCGCCG
RNAcentral lists this ribosomal RNA (486 nucleotides) under uncultured bacterium. RNAcentral's name for it is "partial 16S ribosomal RNA". It matches the Rfam family "Bacterial small subunit ribosomal RNA", at positions 28 to 523 of the family's 1533-position model. The record is from RNAcentral.